CCCUGCAUUCGAAAGUGAUUGUGGGCUGCCUGUGCCCUGGUCAUCGAUAGUGCAGGGAGAGGAAAUGCUGAAAGCGUUUCCCCGUGUUUGGAGGGUUCUCUCUUGUCCUUUCCAAACUCUGGAGCUUUCACACA
This 134-nucleotide small nucleolar RNA is filed under the name Castor canadensis (American beaver). RNAcentral's name for it is "Small nucleolar RNA SNORA71 (ENSCCNG00000012304.1)". It matches the Rfam family "Small nucleolar RNA SNORA71". From Rfam's summary of the family: The members of this family belong to the H/ACA class of snoRNAs which bind a number of proteins (including dyskerin, Gar1p and Nop10p) to form snoRNP complexes. This class of snoRNAs are thought to guide the sites of modification of uridines to pseudouridines by forming direct base pairing interactions with substrate RNAs. The record is from Rfam by way of RNAcentral. Lineage: Eukaryota; Metazoa; Chordata; Mammalia; Rodentia; Castoridae.